RNAcentral lists this ribosomal RNA (462 nucleotides) under uncultured bacterium. RNAcentral's name for it is "bacterial SSU rRNA". It matches the Rfam family "Bacterial small subunit ribosomal RNA", at positions 30 to 483 of the family's 1533-position model. The record is from RNAcentral.
AUUGAACGCUGGCGGCAUGCUUUACACAUGCAAGUCGAACGGCAGCGCGGGGGCAACCCUGGCGGCGAGUGGCGAACGGGUGAGUAAUGCAUCGGAACGUAUCCUGUAAUGGGGGAUAACGUAGCGAAAGUUACGCUAAUACCGCAUACGCUCGAGAGAGGAAAGUGGGGGAUCGCAAGACCUCACGUUAUAGGAGCGGCCGAUGUCCGAUUAGCUAGUUGGUGGGGUAAAGGCCUACCAAGGCGACGAUCGUGUAGCGGGUCUGAGAGGAUGAUCCGCCACACUGGAACUGAGACACGGUCCAGACUCCUACGGGAGGCAGCAGUGGGAAUUUUGGACAAUGGGCGCAAGCCUGAUCCAGCCAUGCCGCGUGAGUGAAGAAGGCCUUCGGGUUGUUAAAGCUCUUUCGGCCGGGAAGGAAAUCGCAUGGGUUAAUACCCUGUGUGGAUGACGGUACCGGAA